CUGAAGACAAGGCCAGACACAGAGUUCUUCCCUUUUCGCCUCUAGUCAACGGUCACAGGUUAGAAGAGACAAAGGACAGAUGACAAUUAAAUACUGUGUGGUGCCUGCAUGGAUCCUGGAGCAGACACAGAGCACUACUGGAAAACAUCUGAGGAAAUGCCUUCAUCGAUGUAUCUUCUAAGAGACUGCCUGAAGGUCCUGGGGAUGCUCAUUGGGAGGAUUCUGAUUUGGAUUCAGUGGCUUCACUCAAUGUUCCCAAACCUGGAGAUCAAUGAAAUAUAUACUUAUCUCUUUCACUCUCAUUAUCAUUGUACUAGUAGUUGAGAGUUACGCUGGGUGGUUUUUAACCACCACUCUCAGAA
Eptesicus fuscus (big brown bat) is the source of this 362-nucleotide long non-coding RNA. RefSeq lists it as uncharacterized. Lineage: Eukaryota; Metazoa; Chordata; Mammalia; Chiroptera; Vespertilionidae. The record is from RefSeq and is a predicted model, not a curated record. The transcript has 3 exons.